GCUGGGUUUGGGGGUGCACACCUGUAAUCCCAGCGGCUUGGGAGGCUGAGGCAGGAGGAUAGUGAGUUCAAAGCCAGCCUCAGCAAAAAGCAAGGCACUAAGCAACUCAGUGAGACCCUGUCUCUA
This 126-nucleotide small RNA is filed under the name Marmota monax (woodchuck). Lineage: Eukaryota; Metazoa; Chordata; Mammalia; Rodentia; Sciuridae. The record is from RNAcentral.